CCCAUUCCGAACCCGGUAGUUAAGCCUUCCAGCGCCGAUGGUACUGCAUUCGUGAGGGUGUGGGAGAGUAGGACGCCGCCGAAC
This 84-nucleotide ribosomal RNA is filed under the name Saccharothrix sp. The record is from RNAcentral. Lineage: Bacteria; Bacillati; Actinomycetota; Actinomycetes; Pseudonocardiales; Pseudonocardiaceae.